Molecule: long non-coding RNA, 282 nt
Organism: Ostrinia furnacalis (Asian corn borer)
Lineage: Eukaryota; Metazoa; Arthropoda; Insecta; Lepidoptera; Crambidae
Exons: 2
Source: RefSeq, a predicted model, not a curated record
CACAAGUGUCUUAGAGAGUUUUGUGGAAAUGAGGAGGGACAUACCGAGAUCUCAGAACUUGAAGAACUUGUCGGAAAGAUUGGUUGAUUUGGAAGAAGAGUUUUUGUGAUACUUACGUGGACAAGGGUUGGUCUCCGGUCAGGUAUGCAAUGUUAUUUAAAUAUAGACAGGGCUCACUACUGGACUAUGCUUUGAGGAAAGAAAAACUUUUAUUGGAGGUAAAUAAAACUAUAGAUAAACCUACUUUGAUUGAUCUCAUCGCUACAGGACUUCCAAAUUUUA